Molecule: transfer RNA, 68 nt
Filed under: Conosia irrorata
Lineage: Eukaryota; Metazoa; Arthropoda; Insecta; Diptera; Limoniidae
Description: tRNA-His
Source: RNAcentral
AUUUAAAUAGUUUAUUAUUAAAAUUUUGAUUUGUGGUGUCAAAGAUAUGAAGUUUUUCAUUUUAAAUU